Molecule: ribosomal RNA, 465 nt
Filed under: uncultured bacterium
Lineage: Bacteria
Description: partial 16S ribosomal RNA
Rfam family: Bacterial small subunit ribosomal RNA
Source: RNAcentral
CCUACGGGUGGCAGCAGUGGGGAAUUUUGGACAAUGGGCGCAAGCCUGAUCCAGCUAUUCCGCGUGUGGGAUGAAGGCCCUCGGGUUGUAAACCACUUUUGUAGAGAACGAAAAGACACCUUUUAAUAAAGGGUGUUGCUGACGGUACUCUAAGAAUAAGCACCGGCUAACUACGUGCCAGCAGCCGCGGUAAUACGUAGGGUGCGAGCGUUAAUCGGAAUUACUGGGCGUAAAGGGUGCGCAGGCGGUUGAGUAAGACAGAUGUGAAAUCCCCGAGCUUAACUCGGGAAUGGCAUAUGUGACUGCUCGACUAGAGUGUGUCAGAGGGAGGUGGAAUUCCACGUGUAGCAGUGAAAUGCGUAGAUAUGUGGAAGAACUCCGAUUGCGAAGGCAGCAUACCGGCGCGCAACUGACGCUCAUGCACGAAAGCGUGGGUAUCGAACAGGAUUAGAUACCCCUGUAGUC